Molecule: ribosomal RNA, 119 nt
Filed under: Pteropus vampyrus (large flying fox)
Lineage: Eukaryota; Metazoa; Chordata; Mammalia; Chiroptera; Pteropodidae
Source: RNAcentral
GGCUACAGCCAUGCCGCCCUGAACAUGCCUGAUUUCGUCUGAUCUCGGAAAUUAAGCAGGGUCAGGCCUGGUUAGUACUUGGAUGGGAGACCACCUAGGAAUAGUAGGUGCUGUAGGCU